This 420-nucleotide ribosomal RNA is filed under the name uncultured beta proteobacterium. RNAcentral describes it as "bacterial SSU rRNA". It matches the Rfam family "Bacterial small subunit ribosomal RNA", at positions 188 to 602 of the family's 1533-position model. The record is from RNAcentral. Lineage: Bacteria; Pseudomonadati; Pseudomonadota; Betaproteobacteria.
GAAAAGCAGGGGAUCGAAAGACCUUAUGCUUUUGGAGCGGCCGAUGUCUGAUUAGCUAGUUGGUAAGGUAAUGGCUUACCAAGGCGACGAUCAGUAGUUGGUCUGAGAGGACGGCCAGCCACACUGGGACUGAGACACGGCCCAGACUCCUACGGGAGGCAGCAGUGGGGAAUUUUGGACAAUGGGCGCAAGCCUGAUCCAGCAAUGCCGCGUGAGUGAAGAAGGCCUUCGGGUUGUAAAGCUCUUUCAGUCGAGAAGAAAAGGUUGUGACUAAUAAUCAUAACUCAUGACGGUAUCGACAGAAGAAGCACCGGCUAACUACGUGCCAGCAGCCGCGGUAAUACGUAGGGUGCGAGCGUUAAUCGGAAUUACUGGGCGUAAAGGGUGCGCAGGCGGUUCUGUAAGUCAGAUGUGAAUCCC